Molecule: long non-coding RNA, 2002 nt
Filed under: Volvox carteri
Lineage: Eukaryota; Viridiplantae; Chlorophyta; Chlorophyceae; Chlamydomonadales; Volvocaceae
Description: long non-coding RNA (VCAR_LNC004079)
Source: RNAcentral
GGCCAGGCUGGAGAGGAAAGUGCAGUGGCAUAUUGGAAUGUGAGAUUAGCGUAAGCGAGUUACAGGGUGUUUUAUUGCACGGGCGAAUUUACGUGCAAAUCUUUCACCGUAGCAUCAGUCCUGAGUUCACUUCUUGGAACGAACAUCAGCAUAGGUGCAAGCCCUCUCGCUUGGGGGGAUAUGCAAACAAACAUCCUGAUAGGGGUAAACUCGCACGCUACCGAGCAUUCAACCGAGCACAUGCAUGCUUAGUUGAAUGGUGAGAUGCGACCCCCCCUUCAUUUCGUGCUCGGCAAGCCUGCCACCGCGUACCGGAUAUGUUGGCGAUGUUACAGAACGCUGCACCUUGGUUUCUGUGCGCAUUACGUACGUUGCUCGACCCCGCCGACCAAAACUACACGUGCCCAACUGAAGACAUUCCCGGUGGUUGUGCAGCAGCUCUUGAGGCUGUUGCUGGCUGAAAUCCAUCCUGAGCUGUUGCAACACGGCUAACGCGGGCACGUCCUAUGCACAGCAAAUACCGUAGUGACAGGAAAUGUUCGUGAUUUUAAUUUCGUGACGGCAUCACGAAAUUAUGUCACAUAUAAAUUACAAGCUGUUCCAGGCGAUGGUCGUCACGAAUAUAUGUGUGCUCCGAAGCCAAAUCGUAUAAUGCCUUCAACACAGUAAUUACUCGACAAAUUCCACUUUUCUGGCCAUAUAUACAUCCAUAGUAAUUGAACGGACAUGGAUCCGAGGGCUAAGCGGCCUAAGCAACAAAGCCUCCUUCAAUGCGGACUGAGGCGAACGGCCAGGCAGUUGAGGGCCCCCGCGCGCCUUGCCGACUACGCACACUAAUCUGGAAUCUGGUGUUUGCUGGUGUGCAGAAUAACCGUGCAUGCAUUGGCCAGCUUUUGCGUCAAUCGGCGUUCUGAGUCGGACCCAUUAACGAAUAUUGCAGGCACCGUUGCUUCGGUUGCGUUGGCUUCUCACGAAUUCAAAAGUUUCACCAAUAAUUUCGGGUGUAAUUUUGAGGGUGUCUCGAACAAUAAAAUCACGAACAUUUCCUGUCACUACGGUAGCUGUUCCAAGCCAACAGCGGCGUCCAUGUCACCGACAAGGCUUUAAACGUCUUAUCUGUUCUUAUGUUUAAUUAAGUUUAUGUAUGUUAUACUAUGCGCAACUUUGUAAUUUGACUUUACUCUGAACAAGGUGCUGCAUACAACUGCCUCUUCGCCAGCGCUUCAUCUUCCGCGGCAGUUUCACGAGCCCAGAGUUGCAAGCUACGACGUUGGCUUUCGGUGCUUUUAGUUACUGCAAAGCAUCCACGCAAUAGUUCAGCGUGCGGCUAUGGCCAACAUGCUCACCUGCGCAACGCGCUGGCGCACCUGGUCCUCAUCCGCCAAGAAAUUUUAUAUACAUUUGUACAGGCGCAUUUUGCGAAUCGCACGCGCGCAUCUGCGCGGCAAAAUUCGCUCCUGACUUUUGGGACGAGAUGUACGGAUUCUCUAUUCGNNNNNNNNNNNNNNNNNNNNNNNNNNNNNNNNNNNNNNNNNNNNNNNNNNAACAUCAGCAUAGGUCCAAGCCCUCUCGCUUGGAGGGAUAUGCAAACAAGCAUCCUAAUAGGGGUAAACUCGCACGCUACCGAGCAUUCAACCGAGCACAUGCAUGCUUAGUUGAAUGGUGAGAUGCGACCCCCCCUUCAUUUCGAGUUCGGCAAGCCUGCCACCGCGUACCGGAUAUGUUGGCGAUGUUACAGAACGCUGCACCUUGGUUUCUGUGCGCAUUGCGUACGUUGCUCGACCCCGCCGACCAAAACUACACGUGCUCAACUGAAGACAUUCCCGGUGGUUGUGCAGCAGCUCUUGAGGCUGUUGCUGGCUGAAAUCCAUCCUGAGACUGUUGCAACACGGCUAACGCGGGCACGUCCCUAUGCACAGCAAAUAGCUGUUCCAAGCCAACAGCGGCGUCCAUGUCACCGACAAGGCUCUAAACGUCUUAUCUGUUCUUAUGUUUAAUGAAG